AGUGAACGCUGGCGGUAGGCCUAACACAUGCAAGUCGAACGGCAGCACAGUAAGAGCUUGCUCUUACGGGUGGCGAGUGGCGGACGGGUGAGGAAUACAUCGGAAUCUACUUUUUCGUGGGGGAUAACGUAGGGAAACUUACGCUAAUACCGCAUACGACCUACGGGUGAAAGCAGGGGAUCUUCGGACCUUGCGCGAUUGAAUGAGCCGAUGUCGGAUUAGCUAGUUGGCGGGGUAAAGGCCCACCAAGGCGACGAUCCGUAGCUGGUCUGAGAGGAUGAUCAGCCACACUGGAACUGAGACACGGUCCAGACUCCUACGGGAGGCAGCAGUGGGGAAUAUUGGACAAUGGGCGCAAGCCUGAUCCAGCCAUACCGCGUGAGUGAAGAAGGCCUUCGGGUUGUAGAGCCCUUUUGUUGGGAAAGAAAAGCAGCAGGUUAAUACCCCGCUGUUCUGACGGUACCCAAAGAAUAAGCACCGGCUAACUUCGUG
RNAcentral lists this ribosomal RNA (492 nucleotides) under uncultured bacterium. Its description in RNAcentral is "partial 16S ribosomal RNA". It matches the Rfam family "Bacterial small subunit ribosomal RNA", at positions 29 to 507 of the family's 1533-position model. The record is from RNAcentral.